UACUUCAUUAGAACGUAUGAAAAAGAUUUCCUGGCAGAUAAAGAAGAUACUGCCACUUACAGGUUUAUUGGGAUGUAACCCCAUCAUCAGUAAGUCAAGGAGCAUCUGCAUAUGAAAGAUCUGGAAUACAUUUUUAAGGUACAAGUUACAAUAUUCCUGUGAUUACAGAAGGCUAUAGUACAAAUAAGAAAAGGCUCAUAAAACCCAAGAAAUCUAAGAUAGUGCACCCUGCCAUCAAACUGCCAGGAACAGGACGUACAAGUACUAACUGCCUUCAUUAGCUUGUUCACCAUUAUCACAGUUGUGAAUAAUGAAAUCAUUUCCAGAGCCAUUUGCCAAAC
Symphalangus syndactylus (siamang) is the source of this 341-nucleotide long non-coding RNA. RefSeq lists it as uncharacterized. Lineage: Eukaryota; Metazoa; Chordata; Mammalia; Primates; Hylobatidae. The record is from RefSeq and is a predicted model, not a curated record.